RNAcentral lists this ribosomal RNA (253 nucleotides) under uncultured bacterium. RNAcentral's name for it is "partial 16S ribosomal RNA". It matches the Rfam family "Bacterial small subunit ribosomal RNA", at positions 524 to 776 of the family's 1533-position model. The record is from RNAcentral.
UACGUAGGGUGCAAGCGUUGUCCGGAAUUAUUGGGCGUAAAGAGCUCGUAGGCGGGUUUUCGCGUCUGCUGUGAAAACUCGGGGCUUAACUCCGGGCCUGCAGUGGGUACGGGCAGACUAGAGUGCGGUAGGGGAGACUGGAAUUCCUGGUGUAGCGGUGAAAUGCGCAGAUAUCAGGAGGAACACCGGUGGCGAAGGCGGGUCUCUGGAACGCAACUGACGCUGAGACGCGAAAGCGUGGGGAGCAAACAGG